AUUAGUAAACUACUGUGUUGGUGGUAUUCCUUUUGAAGAGUACAUGAUGCAAAACAAUAGUGUACAUGAUGUAAAACAAUAGUAUCUAACAGCCAUCUAGUUAUCUCGUUAUAAGUAAAAUUCACAAUGAUUUUUUAUUUAUGAACAAUUGUGAAAUCAUCGUCAGUGGUUGUAGUAACUUGGUUAUUACUCUUUUGAUCAUUUUCUCAUGUUUUGUCAAUCUUACAUUUAUUCUUUAUUUUCUACUAAUAAUAGCUUUUCUUAGUGACUCAUUUUUAUUCAAUGAUGAUA
This 291-nucleotide long non-coding RNA is filed under the name Carica papaya (papaya). RNAcentral's name for it is "long non-coding RNA (CPAP_LNC010346)". Lineage: Eukaryota; Viridiplantae; Streptophyta; Magnoliopsida; Brassicales; Caricaceae. The record is from RNAcentral.